GGUCCAGAGGGGAAAUAGG
Molecule: microRNA, 19 nt
Filed under: Macaca mulatta (Rhesus monkey)
Lineage: Eukaryota; Metazoa; Chordata; Mammalia; Primates; Cercopithecidae
Also listed under: 1 other name
Description: mml-miR-198
Gene: mml-miR-198
Source: miRBase by way of RNAcentral